UACAUGGGGUGCAACCGUUGCUCGGAUUCAUUGGGCGUAAAGGGCGCGUAGGCGGCGGGGUAAGUCGGGUGUGAAAUCUCAGAGCUCAACUCUGAAAUGGCACUUGAUACUGCUCUGCUAGAGGACUGGAGAGGAGAUUGGAAUUCACGGUGUAGCAGUGAAAUGCGUAGAUAUCGUGAGGAAGACCGGUGGCGAAGGCGGAUCUCUGGACAGUUCCUGACGCUGAGGCGCGAAGGCCAGGGGAGCAAACGGG
This 253-nucleotide ribosomal RNA is filed under the name uncultured bacterium. RNAcentral's name for it is "partial 16S ribosomal RNA". It matches the Rfam family "Bacterial small subunit ribosomal RNA", at positions 524 to 776 of the family's 1533-position model. The record is from RNAcentral.